RNAcentral lists this ribosomal RNA (546 nucleotides) under uncultured bacterium. RNAcentral describes it as "bacterial SSU rRNA". It matches the Rfam family "Bacterial small subunit ribosomal RNA", at positions 777 to 1320 of the family's 1533-position model. The record is from RNAcentral.
AAUAGAUACCCAGGGUAGUCCACGCCGUAAACGAUGAGUGCUAAGUGUUAGGGGGUUUCCGCCCCUUAGUGCUGCAGCUAACGCAUUAAGCACUCCGCCUGGGGAGUACGGUCGCAAGACUGAAACUCAAAGGAAUUGACGGGGGCCCGCACAAGCGGUGGAGCAUGUGGUUUAAUUCGAAGCAACGCGAAGAACCUUACCAGGUCUUGACAUCCCAUUGACCACUAUGGAGACAUAGUUUUCCCUUCGGGGACAACGGUGACAGGUGGUGCAUGGUUGUCGUCAGCUCGUGUCGUGAGAUGUUGGGUUAAGUCCCGCAACGAGCGCAACCCUUGUUCUUAGUUGCCAUCAUUUAGUUGGGCACUCUAAGGAGACUGCCGGUGACAAACCGGAGGAAGGUGGGGAUGACGUCAAAUCAUCAUGCCCCUUAUGACCUGGGCUACACACGUGCUACAAUGGACGGUACAAACGGUUGCCAACCCGCGAGGGGGAGCUAAUCCGAUAAAACCGUUCUCAGUUCGGAUUGUAGGCUGCAACUCGCCUACA